This is a long non-coding RNA of Selaginella moellendorffii, 551 nucleotides long. RefSeq lists it as uncharacterized. The record is from RefSeq and is a predicted model, not a curated record. The transcript is spliced from 3 exons. NCBI's taxonomy places the organism in Eukaryota, Viridiplantae, Streptophyta, Lycopodiopsida, Selaginellales, Selaginellaceae.
GUUGAAGGCAUUUCCUGAGCCAACAAGUGGUAGUCCUCUUCCUAGCGAUGGAACAGCGCAAAUGAUGGAGAUAAUGAUGAGCAGAUAUGAGGAGUUGACACAUCCACUUUAAAGUUUUCUUGUUGGAGAACAUGCGAGGGCUGAAGCUAAAACUUGACAUUGAAACUGCAAUGCUGGAAUUAAAUCAAUUAGUGCGAGCCACCGAGAUUAACUUUGCCAUUUUGCCACGAGGUUCACUACCGAAGAGAUAUCGAUCUUGCGAGACUACACGUCCCGGCACGUCAAGGCUGUUCCAGCUCCGAAAGUUACAACACCAGUAAUUUACUUAUGACUGACUAGGUACCACGGAGAGCAAGAUUGGCUUCCGUGGAAGAUGGACAAGUUCCUCUCGUGGCCGAGGACAGUGCCAGUCCCAAGUCGCAGUAGCAGAUCAGGCUCCGGAGCACCUUCUCCAAAGCCCGUAUUUUCAGGAUCCGGGCUCGAGUACCUCAAGUUUUACCCCGCACUAUGAGGUCGUCUAGUUUUGGUAGCUUUUCUAACGGAAUAUGUUU